This 492-nucleotide ribosomal RNA is filed under the name uncultured bacterium. RNAcentral's name for it is "partial 16S ribosomal RNA". It matches the Rfam family "Bacterial small subunit ribosomal RNA", at positions 28 to 507 of the family's 1533-position model. The record is from RNAcentral.
GAUGAACGCUCGCUACAGGCUUAACACAUGCAAGUCGAGGGGAAACGACAUCGAAAGCUUGCUUUUGAUGGGCGUCGACCGGCGCACGGGUGAGUAACGCGUAUCCAACCUGCCCAUCACUUGGGAAUAACCUUGCGAAAGUAAGACUAAUACCCAAUGACAUCCCACGAAGACAUCUGAAUGGGAUUAAAGAUUUAUCGGUGAUGGAUGGGGAUGCGUCUGAUUAGCUUGUUGGCGGGGUAACGGCCCACCAAGGCAACGAUCAGUAGGGGUUCUGAGAGGAAGGUCCCCAACAUUGGAACUGAGACACGGUCCAAACUCCUACGGGAGGCAGCAGUGAGGAAUAUUGGUCAAUGGGCGAGAGCCUGAACCAGCCAAGUAGCGUGCAGGAUGACGGCCCUAUGGGUUGUAAACUGCUUUUAUAAGGGAAUAAAGUGGGUCUCGUGAGACUUUUUGCAUGUACCUUAUGAAUAAGGACCGGCUAAUUCCGUG